AGAAUCAACGCUGGCGGCGUGCCUAACACAUGCAAGUCGAACGAGAAAGUGGAGCAAUCCAUUAGUAAAGUGGCGCACGGGUGAGUAACACGUGACUAACCUACCCUUGAGUGGGGGGAUAACUUCGGGAAACCGAGGCUAAUACCGCAUAAUACCUACGGGUCAAAGGAGCAAUUCGCUUUAGGAGGGGGUCGCGGUCGAUUAGUUAGUUGGCGGGGUAAUGGCCCACCAAGACUGUGAUCGAUAUCCGGCCUGAGAGGGCGCACGGACACACUGGAACUGAAACACGGUCCAGACUCCUACGGGAGGCAGCAGUGGGGAAUCUUGCGCAAUGGGGGAAACCCUGACGCAGCAACGCCGCGUGGAGGAUGAAGUCCCUUGGGACGUAAACUCCUUUCGAUCGGGACGAUAAUGACUGUACCGGAAGAAGAAGCCCGGCUAACUUCGCGCCAGCAGCCGC
RNAcentral lists this ribosomal RNA (460 nucleotides) under uncultured bacterium. RNAcentral's name for it is "SSU rRNA". It matches the Rfam family "Bacterial small subunit ribosomal RNA", at positions 26 to 518 of the family's 1533-position model. The record is from RNAcentral.